RNAcentral lists this ribosomal RNA (998 nucleotides) under uncultured bacterium. Its description in RNAcentral is "bacterial SSU rRNA". It matches the Rfam family "Bacterial small subunit ribosomal RNA", at positions 355 to 1375 of the family's 1533-position model. The record is from RNAcentral.
UGGGGAAUAUUGCGCAAUGGGGGAAACCCUGACGCAGCAACGCCGCGUGAUUGAAGAAGGCCUUCGGGUUGUAAAGAUCUUUAAUCAGGGACGAAACAAAUGACGGUACCUGAAGAAUAAGCUCCGGCUAACUACGUGCCAGCAGCCGCGGUAAUACGUAGGGAGCAAGCGUUAUCCGGAUUUACUGGGUGUAAAGGGCGCGCAGGCGGGUCGGUAAGUUGGAAGUGAAAUCUAUGGGCUUAACCCAUAAACUGCUUUCAAAACUGCUGGUCUUGAGUGAUGGAGAGGCAGGCGGAAUUCCGUGUGUAGCGGUGAAAUGCGUAGAUAUACGGAGGAACACCAGUGGCGAAGGCGGCCUGCUGGGCACCAACUGACGCUGAGGCUCGAAAGUGUGGGUAGCAAACAGGAUUAGAUACCCUGGUAGUCCACACCGUAAACGAUGAUUACUAGGUGUUGGAGGAUUGACCCCUUCAGUGCCGCAGUUAACACAAUAAGUAAUCCACCUGGGGAGUACGACCGCAAGGUUGAAACUCAAAGGAAUUGACGGGGGCCCGCACAAGCAGUGGAGUAUGUGGUUUAAUUCGACGCAACGCGAAGAACCUUACCAAGUCUUGACAUCCUGCGACGAUGCUGGAAACAGUAUUUUCCUUCGGGACGCAGAGACAGGUGGUGCAUGGUUGUCGUCAGCUCGUGUCGUGAGAUGUUGGGUUAAGUCCCGCAACGAGCGCAACCCUUACUGUCAGUUACUACGCAAGAGGACUCUGGCAGGACUGCCGUUGACAAAACGGAGGAAGGUGGGGAUGACGUCAAAUCAUCAUGCCCUUUAUGACUUGGGCUACACACGUACUACAAUGGCGUUAAACAAAGAGAAGCAAGACCGCGAGGUGGAGCAAAACUCAGAAACAACGUCCCAGUUCGGACUGCAGGCUGCAACUCGCCUGCACGAAGUCGGAAUUGCUAGUAAUCGUGGAUCAGCAUGCCACGGUGAAUACGUUCCC